Molecule: ribosomal RNA, 2538 nt
Filed under: Escherichia coli
Lineage: Bacteria; Pseudomonadati; Pseudomonadota; Gammaproteobacteria; Enterobacterales; Enterobacteriaceae
Description: partial 23S ribosomal RNA
Rfam family: Bacterial large subunit ribosomal RNA
Source: RNAcentral
GGGACACGUGGUAUCCUGUCUGAAUAUGGGGGGACCAUCCUCCAAGGCUAAAUACUCCUGACUGACCGAUAGUGAACCAGUACCGUGAGGGAAAGGCGAAAAGAACCCCGGCGAGGGGAGUGAAAAAGAACCUGAAACCGUGUACGUACAAGCAGUGGGAGCCUCUUUAUGGGGUGACUGCGUACCUUUUGUAUAAUGGGUCAGCGACUUAUAUUCUGUAGCAAGGUUAACCGAAUAGGGGAGCCGAAGGGAAACCGAGUCUUAACUGGGCGUUAAGUUGCAGGGUAUAGACCCGAAACCCGGUGAUCUAGCCAUGGGCAGGUUGAAGGUUGGGUAACACUAACUGGAGGACCGAACCGACUAAUGUUGAAAAAUUAGCGGAUGACUUGUGGCUGGGGGUGAAAGGCCAAUCAAACCGGGAGAUAGCUGGUUCUCCCCGAAAGCUAUUUAGGUAGCGCCUCGUGAAUUCAUCUCCGGGGGUAGAGCACUGUUUCGGCAAGGGGGUCAUCCCGACUUACCAACCCGAUGCAAACUGCGAAUACCGGAGAAUGUUAUCACGGGAGACACACGGCGGGUGCUAACGUCCGUCGUGAAGAGGGAAACAACCCAGACCGCCAGCUAAGGUCCCAAAGUCAUGGUUAAGUGGGAAACGAUGUGGGAAGGCCCAGACAGCCAGGAUGUUGGCUUAGAAGCAGCCAUCAUUUAAAGAAAGCGUAAUAGCUCACUGGUCGAGUCGGCCUGCGCGGAAGAUGUAACGGGGCUAAACCAUGCACCGAAGCUGCGGCAGCGACACUAUGUGUUGUUGGGUAGGGGAGCGUUCUGUAAGCCUGUGAAGGUGUGCUGUGAGGUAUGCUGGAGGUAUCAGAAGUGCGAAUGCUGACAUAAGUAACGAUAAAGCGGGUGAAAAGCCCGCUCGCCGGAAGACCAAGGGUUCCUGUCCAACGUUAAUCGGGGCAGGGUGAGUCGACCCCUAAGGCGAGGCCGAAAGGCGUAGUCGAUGGGAAACAGGUUAAUAUUCCUGUACUUGGUGUUACUGCGAAGGGGGGACGGAGAAGGCUAUGUUGGCCGGGCGACGGUUGUCCCGGUUUAAGCGUGUAGGCUGGUUUUCCAGGCAAAUCCGGAAAAUCAAGGCUGAGGCGUGAUGACGAGGCACUACGGUGCUGAAGCAACAAAUGCCCUGCUUCCAGGAAAAGCCUCUAAGCAUCAGGUAACAUCAAAUCGUACCCCAAACCGACACAGGUGGUCAGGUAGAGAAUACCAAGGCGCUUGAGAGAACUCGGGUGAAGGAACUAGGCAAAAUGGUGCCGUAACUUCGGGAGAAGGCACGCUGAUAUGUAGGUGAAGUCCCUUGCGGAUGGAGCUGAAAUCAGUCGAAGAUACCAGCUGGCUGCAACUGUUUAUUAAAAACACAGCACUGUGCAAACACGAAAGUGGACGUAUACGGUGUGACGCCUGCCCGGUGCCGGAAGGUUAAUUGAUGGGGUUAGCGGUAACGCGAAGCUCUUGAUCGAAGCCCCGGUAAACGGCGGCCGUAACUAUAACGGUCCUAAGGUAGCGAAAUUCCUUGUCGGGUAAGUUCCGACCUGCACGAAUGGCGUAAUGAUGGCCAGGCUGUCUCCACCCGAGACUCAGUGAAAUUGAACUCGCUGUGAAGAUGCAGUGUACCCGCGGCAAGACGGAAAGACCCCGUGAACCUUUACUAUAGCUUGACACUGAACAUUGAGCCUUGAUGUGUAGGAUAGGUGGGAGGCUUUGAAGUGUGGACGCCAGUCUGCAUGGAGCCGACCUUGAAAUACCACCCUUUAAUGUUUGAUGUUCUAACGUUGGCCCCUAAUCGGGGUUGCGGACAGUGUCUGGUGGGUAGUUUGACUGGGGCGGUCUCCUCCUAAAGAGUAACGGAGGAGCACGAAGGUUGGCUAAUCCUGGUCGGACAUCAGGAGGUUAGUGCAAUGGCAUAAGCCAGCUUAACUGCGAGCGUGACGGCGCGAGCAGGUGCGAAAGCAGGUCAUAGUGAUCCGGUGGUUCUGAAUGGAAGGGCCAUCGCUCAACGGAUAAAAGGUACUCCGGGGAUAACAGGCUGAUACCGCCCAAGAGUUCAUAUCGACGGCGGUGUUUGGCACCUCGAUGUCGGCUCAUCACAUCCUGGGGCUGAAGUAGGUCCCAAGGGUAUGGCUGUUCGCCAUUUAAAGUGGUACGCGAGCUGGGUUUAGAACGUCGUGAGACAGUUCGGUCCCUAUCUGCCGUGGGCGCUGGAGAACUGAGGGGGGCUGCUCCUAGUACGAGAGGACCGGAGUGGACGCAUCACUGGUGUUCGGGUUGUCAUGCCAAUGGCACUGCCCGGUAGCUAAAUGCGGAAGAGAUAAGUGCUGAAAGCAUCUAAGCACGAAACUUGCCCCGAGAUGAGUUCUCCCUGACCCUUUAAGGGUCCUGAAGGAACGUUGAAGACGACGACGUUGAUAGGCCGGGUGUGUAAGCGCAGCGAUGCGUUGAGCUAACCGGUACUAAUGAACCGUGAGGCUUAACCUUACAACGCCGAAG